RNAcentral lists this ribosomal RNA (236 nucleotides) under Paenisporosarcina indica. RNAcentral describes it as "partial 16S ribosomal RNA". It matches the Rfam family "Bacterial small subunit ribosomal RNA", at positions 524 to 759 of the family's 1533-position model. Lineage: Bacteria; Bacillati; Bacillota; Bacilli; Caryophanales; Caryophanaceae. The record is from RNAcentral.
UACGUAGGUGGCAAGCGUUGUCCGGAAUUAUUGGGCGUAAAGCGCGCGCAGGCGGUCCUUUAAGUCUGAUGUGAAAGCCCACGGCUCAACCGUGGAGGGUCAUUGGAAACUGGGGGACUUGAGUACAGAAGAGGAAAGCGGAAUUCCACGUGUAGCGGUGAAAUGCGUAGAGAUGUGGAGGAACACCAGUGGCGAAGGCGGCUUUCUGGUCUGUAACUGACGCUGAGNCGCGAAAG